This 468-nucleotide ribosomal RNA is filed under the name uncultured bacterium. RNAcentral describes it as "partial 16S ribosomal RNA". It matches the Rfam family "Bacterial small subunit ribosomal RNA", at positions 28 to 507 of the family's 1533-position model. The record is from RNAcentral.
GACGAACGCUGGCGGCGUGCCUAACACAUGCAAGUCGAACGGAAAGGCCCUGCUUUUGUGGGGUGCUCGAGUGGCGAACGCGGGAGUAACACGUGAGUAACCUGCCCUUGACUUUGGGAUAACUUCAGGAAACUGGGGCUAAUACCGGAUAGGAGCUCCUGCUGCAUGGUGGGGGUUGGAAAGUUUCGGCGGUUGGGGAUGGACUCGCGGUUUAUCAGCUUGUUGGUGGGGUAGUGGCUUACCAAGGCUUUGACGGGUAGCCGGCCUGGGAGGGUGACCGGCCACAUUGGGCCUGAGAUAGGGCCCAGACGGCUACGGGAGGCAGCAGUGGGAAAUAUUGCACAAUGGGCGGAAGCCUGAUGCAGCAACGCCGCGUGCGGGAUGACGGCUUUCGGGGUGUAAACCGCUUUCGCCUGUGACGAAGCGUGAGUGACGGUAAUGGGUAAAGAAGCACCGGCUAACUACGUG